RNAcentral lists this signal recognition particle RNA (98 nucleotides) under Planctomycetota bacterium. Its description in RNAcentral is "signal recognition particle sRNA small type". It matches the Rfam family "Bacterial small signal recognition particle RNA". Rfam says of the family: The signal recognition particle (SRP) is a universally conserved ribonucleoprotein involved in the co-translational targeting of proteins to membranes. The record is from RNAcentral. Lineage: Bacteria; Pseudomonadati; Planctomycetota.
GGGGGGGACCCUGGCAAUGGUGUCUUGCGAACCUGGUCAGGGCGGGAACGCAGCAGCCAUAAGCAUCGCCAUCAUGUGCUUGGGAGAACCUCCCCGGC